Molecule: ribosomal RNA, 702 nt
Filed under: Erwinia sp.
Lineage: Bacteria; Pseudomonadati; Pseudomonadota; Gammaproteobacteria; Enterobacterales; Erwiniaceae
Description: bacterial SSU rRNA
Rfam family: Bacterial small subunit ribosomal RNA
Source: RNAcentral
CAUGCAAGUCGAACGGUAGCACAGAGAGCUUGCUCUUGGGUGACGAGUGGCGGACGGGUGAGUAAUGUCUGGGAAACUGCCUGAUGGAGGGGGAUAACUACUGGAAACGGUAGCUAAUACCGCAUAACGUCUUCGGACCAAAGUGGGGGACCUUCGGGCCUCACACCAUCGGAUGUGCCCAGAUGGGAUUAGCUAGUAGGUGGGGUAAUGGCUCACCUAGGCGACGAUCCCUAGCUGGUCUGAGAGGAUGACCAGCCACACUGGAACUGAGACACGGUCCAGACUCCUACGGGAGGCAGCAGUGGGGAAUAUUGCACAAUGGGCGCAAGCCUGAUGCAGCCAUGCCGCGUGUAUGAAGAAGGCCUUCGGGUUGUAAAGUACUUUCAGCGGGGAGGAAGGCGAUAAGGUUAAUAACCUUGUCGAUUGACGUUACCCGCAGAAGAAGCACCGGCUAACUCCGUGCCAGCAGCCGCGGUAAUACGGAGGGUGCAAGCGUUAAUCGGAAUUACUGGGCGUAAAGCGCACGCAGGCGGUCUGUCAAGUCAGAUGUGAAAUCCCCGGGCUUAACCUGGGAACUGCAUUUGAAACUGGCAGGCUAGAGUCUUGUAGAGGGGGGUAGAAUUCCAGGUGUAGCGGUGAAAUGCGUAGAGAUCUGGAGGAAUACCGGUGGCGAAGGCGGCCCCCUGGACAAAGACUGACGCU